This 647-nucleotide ribosomal RNA is filed under the name uncultured Bacteroidales bacterium. RNAcentral's name for it is "bacterial SSU rRNA". It matches the Rfam family "Bacterial small subunit ribosomal RNA", at positions 75 to 715 of the family's 1533-position model. Lineage: Bacteria; Pseudomonadati; Bacteroidota; Bacteroidia; Bacteroidales. The record is from RNAcentral.
UGAGCUUGCUUCAAUUGCCGGCGACCGGCGCACGGGUGAGUAACGCGUAUCCCACUUUCCGCUUACUCGGGGAUAGCCUUUCGAAAGAAAGAUUCCUACCCGAUGGUAUCUUAAGCACGCAUGAGAUUAAGAUUAAAGAUUUAUCGGUAAGCGAUGGGGAUGCGUUCCAUUAGGCAGUUGGCGGGGUAACGGCCCACCAAACCUACGAUGGAUAGGGGUUCUGAGAGGAAGGUCCCCCACAUUGGAACUGAGACACGGUCCAAACUCCUACGGGAGGCAGCAGUGAGGAAUAUUGGUCAAUGGGCGAGAGCCUGAACCAGCCAAGUAGCGUGAAGGAUGACGGCCCUACGGGUUGUAAACUUCUUUUGUGCGGGAAUAAAGGAACCUACGUGUAGGUUUUUGCAUGUACCGUAACGAAUAAGCAUCGGCUAACUCCGUGCCAGCAGCCGCGGUAAUACGGAGGAUGCGAGCGUUAUCCGGAUUUAUUGGGUUUAAAGGGAGCGUAGACGGGUUUUUAAGUCAGCUGUGAAAGUUUGGGGCUCAACCUUAAAAUUGCAGUUGAAACUGGAGACCUUGAGUACGGUUGAGGCAGGCGGAAUUCGUGGUGUAGCGGUGAAAUGCUUAGAUAUCACGAAGAACUCCGAUUG